UACGUAGGGUGCAAGCGUUAAUCGGAAUUACUGGGCGUAAAGCGUGCGCAGGCGGUUGUGCAAGACAGAUGUGAAAUCCCCGGGCUCAACCUGGGAAUUGCAUUUGUGACUGCACGGCUAGAGUGUGUCAGAGGGGGGGUAGAAUUCCACGUGUAGCAGUGAAAUGCGUAGAGAUGUGGAGGAAUACCGAUGGCGAAGGCAGCCCCCUGGGAUAACACUGACGCUCAUGCACGAAAGCGUGGGGAGCAAACAGG
This 254-nucleotide ribosomal RNA is filed under the name uncultured bacterium. RNAcentral's name for it is "partial 16S ribosomal RNA". It matches the Rfam family "Bacterial small subunit ribosomal RNA", at positions 524 to 776 of the family's 1533-position model. The record is from RNAcentral.